AUACGCUUGUGAUCAAGGGCCUGGUCUCCCCUCAAGACACGGUCAGAGAUCAGAGGCCACACCAUCAUAGCAGUGGAGCAGGACCAGCUGGGACAGGGUCCUUCUGUGACACCUGCUGCAUCACCAGGCUGUGUGAACGGACUCAAUUGCCAGAACUCACAGAAUAGCAGUAUCAGCGCCGAAACCUCACAGGAAAAAUGAAGACAUUUUCUUUCUCUUCUGAGUAACUGAAAUAAAAUCUGGCCUUUGUGAAACCCU
RNAcentral lists this long non-coding RNA (258 nucleotides) under Homo sapiens (human). Its description in RNAcentral is "HSALNT0082954". The record is from RNAcentral. Lineage: Eukaryota; Metazoa; Chordata; Mammalia; Primates; Hominidae.